CCUACGGGAGGCAGCAGUAGGGAAUCUUCCGCAAUGGACGAAAGUCUGACGGAGCAACGCCGCGUGAGCGAUGAAGGCCUUCGGGUCGUAAAGCUCUGUUGUCAGGGAAGAACAAGUACCGGAGUAACUGCCGGUACCUUGACGGUACCUGACCAGAAAGCCACGGCUAACUACGUGCCAGCAGCCGCGGUAAUACGUAGGUGGCAAGCGUUGUCCGGAAUUAUUGGGCGUAAAGCGCGCGCAGGCGGUUCCUUAAGUCUGAUGUGAAAGCCCCCGGCUCAACCGGGGAGGGUCAUUGGAAACUGGGGAACUUGAGUGCAGAAGAGGAGAGCGGAAUUCCACGUGUAGCGGUGAAAUGCGUAGAGAUGUGGAGGAACACCGGUGGCGAAGGCGGCUUUCUAGCCCGAUACUGACGCUGAGACACGAAGGCUAGGGGAGCAAACAGGAUUAGAUACCCUGGUAGUCCUAGCGGUAAACGUUGGGCACUAGGUGUUGUCCCUUAACCGGGGCAGUGCCGCAGUUAACACAUUAAGUGCCCCGCCUGGGGAGUACGACCGCAAGGUUGAAACUCAAAGGAAUUGACGG
Molecule: ribosomal RNA, 585 nt
Filed under: uncultured bacterium
Lineage: Bacteria
Description: bacterial SSU rRNA
Rfam family: Bacterial small subunit ribosomal RNA
Source: RNAcentral